CCAGCCUGGGAAGAAGCCUCCCACGCCAGGGCCCCGGACCCAGGAGAGGCCAUGGAAAGCCUGAACCCCAGCUGGCUGACACCCCCCACACCCCCAAGGGCCCUUAGUCUGAGACCAACUCUCCUGGACACCUGGGGCCCACGCAGGCCCUCCGUGCCCCAGUUACCUGUGCCCUGGGGGCAGCCACGGAGUCACGACCACGCGGGGGACGCCAGCCCACAGGAGGAGGCCGGUUUCGAGGCGGCUGGCAGCCGCCCCCCCACCCCAUGCCCUUUGGGUGGCACCUGUGCUGGUGGAGUGGGGGUGGCUGGCUUUGCACACAGGCCUGCUCCUGUGCCGUGCUGUGACAGCCAUGAAGGAAGAACCUGGCUGAGUCUCCACCUGCCGUGGACUGUACCAGGUUUGGGGAGGCCAGGCACUGCUAAGGGUCAGUCUGCCCAGACCAGUGUGGACACACCAAGUGCCUGCGAGCCCCUGGGAGCUGCCCGUGCCAGGCUGGAGUGCCAGGGAGGGGCGAGGACAGCUGCAGCCCCGAGAUGUAAACAGGCUUGCAGGUAUAAAAGCUGGAGCCCCUGGGCCUCUCCACACCUCAGCCUGACCCACCUUCCAGAACUCUCGAAAGAAGCCAGGCAGAGGACCCAGCACCAGGCGGCGUCUACGUCUGCUCUGGCCCAAGCAGCACCCCCAAUCCGUGCGUGCACCCCACGAAUUGACUCCCUAUCCACCCAGGACCAGGAUGGAGGAGGACUUCUCCUCCCAGAUGAAGAAGAUGGCCUUGGCCAUGGGCACGUCCCUAUCAGACAAGGACAUUGAGCUGCUGCCCACGGACAUGAGACACCACGGUACAGCAUGCCCCCGCCUGGCACGGCCCCCCACCCGUCCAGCCCCCCUGUGGUCAGGAGACCUCAUCCCUUUCCUGGGGCUGAUGGGUCCAGGACACCAGGACCUGCGGCGGGCGGGGACAUGGGGGUGCAGGACCCGGCAGCCCCCAUCCCAGGGCGGGGUCUUCCCUGGAGGCCCAGCUGAAGUGAGGUGGGCCCCUCCGUGAGCCCCGCCUGGUUGCCCCAGGGUCCUUCAACUACCUCAAGUUCUUCGAGCACAUGCGCAAGCUCCACGCCUCGGGCCAGCUGGACGACGCCAUCCACAGGGCCUUCCAGUCCCUGGACAAGGACAAGAGCGGCUUCAUUGAGUGGAACGAGAUCAAGUAAUGGCUGGCGGCCAGGGAGGGGUGGGGCCCAGGCCACCCAGACCACGCCGAAUGCCCACCUGGCAGACCCGGCCUUCCCCCACCGGGUCCCCGCUGGCCUUGCAGCUGGCAGGGCUGGGCCAGAACCGGCUAGAGGCCCAGGAGGCCCAGAGGCCCGGGCUCCCGGCCCAAAGUGCCCUCGCCUACAAAGUGGGGGACGAACGGCUCGUGAGUCACUGGGCACUGGCCGGAAGCCCCUUGGCCCUGACUCGAGCCCCCUCGGCCCCAGGUACAUCCUGUCC
This 1488-nucleotide small RNA is filed under the name Pan troglodytes (chimpanzee). RNAcentral's name for it is "retained intron". The record is from RNAcentral. Lineage: Eukaryota; Metazoa; Chordata; Mammalia; Primates; Hominidae.